AUUGAACGUUGGCGGCAUGCCUUACACAUGCAAGUCGAACGGUAACAGGUCUUCGGAUGCUGACGAGUGGCGAACGGGUGAGUAGUACAUCGGAACGUGCCUAGUAGUGGGGGGUAACUACUCGAAAGAGUGGCUAAUACCGCAUGAGAUCUACGGAUGAAAGCAGGGGAUCGCAAGACCCUGUGCUACUAGAGCGGCCGAUGGCAGAUUAGGUAGUUGGUGGGAUAAAAGCUUACCAAGCCGACGAUCUGUAGCUGGUCUGAGAGGACGAUCAGCCACACUGGGACUGAGACACGGCCCAGACUCCUACGGGAGGCAGCAGUGGGGAAUUUUGGACAGUGGGCGCAAGCCUGAUCCAGCAAUGCCGCGUGCAGGAUGAAGGCCUUCGGGUUGUAAACUGCUUUUGUACGGAACGAAAAGCCCCGGGUUAAUACCCUGGGGUCAUGACGGUACCGUAAGAAUAAGCACCGGCUAACUACGUGCCAGCCGCCGCCGUAA
This 498-nucleotide ribosomal RNA is filed under the name uncultured bacterium. RNAcentral's name for it is "partial 16S ribosomal RNA". It matches the Rfam family "Bacterial small subunit ribosomal RNA", at positions 30 to 523 of the family's 1533-position model. The record is from RNAcentral.